This 69-nucleotide transfer RNA is filed under the name Leggadina lakedownensis (Lakeland Downs mouse). RNAcentral describes it as "tRNA-Ala". It matches the Rfam family "tRNA". Rfam says of the family: Transfer RNA (tRNA) molecules are approximately 80 nucleotides in length. Their secondary structure includes four short double-helical elements and three loops (D, anti-codon, and T loops). Further hydrogen bonds mediate the characteristic L-shaped molecular structure. tRNAs have two regions of fundamental functional importance: the anti-codon, which is responsible for specific mRNA codon recognition, and the 3' end, to which the tRNAs corresponding amino acid is attached (by aminoacyl-tRNA synthetases). tRNAs cope with the degeneracy of the genetic code in two manners: having more than one tRNA (with a specific anti-codon) for a particular amino acid; and 'wobble' base-pairing, i.e. permitting non-standard base-pairing at the 3rd anti-codon position. The record is from RNAcentral. Lineage: Eukaryota; Metazoa; Chordata; Mammalia; Rodentia; Muridae.
AAGGUCUUAGCUUAAUUAAAGCAAUUGAUUUGCAUUCAUUAGAUGUAGGAUGAAGGCCUACAGUCCUUA